RNAcentral lists this ribosomal RNA (1341 nucleotides) under Enterococcus faecium. RNAcentral's name for it is "bacterial SSU rRNA". It matches the Rfam family "Bacterial small subunit ribosomal RNA", at positions 202 to 1533 of the family's 1533-position model. Lineage: Bacteria; Bacillati; Bacillota; Bacilli; Lactobacillales; Enterococcaceae. The record is from RNAcentral.
AAGGCGCUUUCGGGUGUCACUGAUGGAUGGACCCGCGGUGCAUUAGCUAGUUGGUGAGGUAACGGCUCACCAAGGCCACGAUGCAUAGCCGACCUGAGAGGGUGAUCGGCCACAUUGGGACUGAGACACGGCCCAAACUCCUACGGGAGGCAGCAGUAGGGAAUCUUCGGCAAUGGACGAAAGUCUGACCGAGCAACGCCGCGUGAGUGAAGAAGGUUUUCGGAUCGUAAAACUCUGUUGUUAGAGAAGAACAAGGAUGAGAGUAACUGUUCAUCCCUUGACGGUAUCUAACCAGAAAGCCACGGCUAACUACGUGCCAGCAGCCGCGGUAAUACGUAGGUGGCAAGCGUUGUCCGGAUUUAUUGGGCGUAAAGCGAGCGCAGGCGGUUUCUUAAGUCUGAUGUGAAAGCCCCCGGCUCAACCGGGGAGGGUCAUUGGAAACUGGGAGACUUGAGUGCAGAAGAGGAGAGUGGAAUUCCAUGUGUAGCGGUGAAAUGCGUAGAUAUAUGGAGGAACACCAGUGGCGAAGGCGGCUCUCUGGUCUGUAACUGACGCUGAGGCUCGAAAGCGUGGGGAGCAAACAGGAUUAGAUACCCUGGUAGUCCACGCCGUAAACGAUGAGUGCUAAGUGUUGGAGGGUUUCCGCCCUUCAGUGCUGCAGCUAACGCAUUAAGCACUCCGCCUGGGGAGUACGACCGCAAGGUUGAAACUCAAAGGAAUUGACGGGGGCCCGCACAAGCGGUGGAGCAUGUGGUUUAAUUCGAAGCAACGCGAAGAACCUUACCAGGUCUUGACAUCCUUUGACCACUCUAGAGAUAGAGCUUCCCCUUCGGGGGCAAAGUGACAGGUGGUGCAUGGUUGUCGUCAGCUCGUGUCGUGAGAUGUUGGGUUAAGUCCCGCAACGAGCGCAACCCUUAUUGUUAGUUGCCAUCAUUCAGUUGGGCACUCUAGCAAGACUGCCGGUGACAAACCGGAGGAAGGUGGGGAUGACGUCAAAUCAUCAUGCCCCUUAUGACCUGGGCUACACACGUGCUACAAUGGGAAGUACAACGAGUUGCGAAGUCGCGAGGCUAAGCUAAUCUCUUAAAGCUUCUCUCAGUUCGGAUUGCAGGCUGCAACUCGCCUGCAUGAAGCCGGAAUCGCUAGUAAUCGCGGAUCAGCACGCCGCGGUGAAUACGUUCCCGGGCCUUGUACACACCGCCCGUCACACCACGAGAGUUUGUAACACCCGAAGUCGGUGAGGUAACCUUUUGGAGCCAGACGCCUAAGGUGGGAUAGAUGAUUGGGGUGAAGUCGUAACAAGGUAGCCGUAUCGGAAGGUGCGGCUGGAUCACCUCCUUU